AGAAAGCAGCUUGCUGCUUUGCUGACGAGUGGCGGACGGGUGAGUAAUGUCUGGGAAACUGCCUGAUGGAGGGGGAUAACUACUGGAAACGGUAGCUAAUACCGCAUAACGUCGCAAGACCAAAGAGGGGGACCUUCGGGCCUCUUGCCAUCGGAUGUGCCCAGAUGGGAUUAGCUAAUAGGUGGGGUAACGGCUCACCUAGGCGACGAUCCCUAGCUGGUCUGAGAGGAUGACCAGCCACACUGGAACUGAGACACGGUCCAGACUCCUACGGGAGGCAGCAGUGGGGAAUAUUGCACAAUGGGCGCAAGCCUGAUGCAGCCAUGCCGCGUGUAUGAAGAAGGCCUUCGGGUUGUAAAGUACUUUCAGCGGGGAGGAAGGGAGUAAAGUUAAUACCUUUGCUCAUUGACGUUACCCGCAGAAGAAGCACCGGCUAACUCCGUGCCAGCAGCCGCGGUAAUACGGAGGGUGCAAGCGUUAAUCGGAAUUACUGGGCGUAAAGCGCACGCAGGCGGUUUGUUAAGUCAGAUGUGAAAUCCCCGGGCUCAACCUGGGAACUGCAUCUGAUACUGGCAAGCUUGAGUCUCGUAGAGGGGGGUAGAAUUCCAGGUGUAGCGGUGAAAUGCGUAGAGAUCUGGAGGAAUACCGGUGGCGAAGGCGGCCCCCUGGACGAAGACUGACGCUCAGGUGCGAAAGCGUGGGGAGCAAACA
Molecule: ribosomal RNA, 711 nt
Filed under: uncultured bacterium
Lineage: Bacteria
Description: bacterial SSU rRNA
Rfam family: Bacterial small subunit ribosomal RNA
Source: RNAcentral